AAAACGUCUCUUCCUUCUUUUUUUGGUUUUGGACCAGACACGGGAAGAAGAUUACAAUUUUGCGGAUUUGAAAGAAGGUUUCAAAGUAUUACUGAAUCGAAAAUUGAUUUAUCUCAAGGGAGAUAAUCAAUUAUCUACUGUCAUAGGAUUUAUGUAGGAAUUACUCGAAAUUUUCGAAUUGAAGUUUAACUUGUCGAAGAACUCUGACAUCUCCAAGGCCACACUCCAUCCCAGGCCUUCAUUUUCCAUUCGCCUGUUCGUUACUAACUGAUAAUACCCUUAAAAUCUUCCAACUUUGAGAAUAGCGGUUGGCGAAUCUCCAAUUCUUGGACACCUAAAUGACUCACCACUGUUGGUAGCGACAUUAAAGCAGAUGAUCCCUGAAUGAGACACAUUGGCAUCACAGGAGUAACACUACCAAAACUGUCAGCGCUACUGCGUAACCCACUUCAUCUAGCUAAAAAGUACCUACUUUUACUUAAUAUUGAUUAUAUUACUAUAGUGUAUUGUAUUGAAAUUUCAAAACCUUUUCUCAGCUACCUUUGAACAAUUGUAAACCGAUGGUAUGCAUACUAGAGGGUAGAUAAUUUAUCAAUUGAAUUAGACAACGAAGAAAUCAUUGUGACAAAAUCCUUCGUUUUAAUAUAAUUUAUUUUUCCUUGUGAAUAAAUCAAACUUUGUAGAUUGGUCACGGAAGUUAGAACUGAAAUCUUCGUUACAAUUUUUCUUUACCUUCUAUUAUUGUUAAAAAAAAUAACUGUUUUUCUUUAUUUUUGAAUGACGCUCUCUUUUCCAUAACUUUCAUCAAUAAAAGAUUAGCAAAUUAAUUUA
This 831-nucleotide long non-coding RNA is filed under the name Leptinotarsa decemlineata (Colorado potato beetle). RNAcentral's name for it is "uncharacterized LOC111508181, transcript variant X2". Lineage: Eukaryota; Metazoa; Arthropoda; Insecta; Coleoptera; Chrysomelidae. The record is from RNAcentral.